This 369-nucleotide ribosomal RNA is filed under the name uncultured prokaryote. Its description in RNAcentral is "bacterial SSU rRNA". It matches the Rfam family "Bacterial small subunit ribosomal RNA", at positions 524 to 896 of the family's 1533-position model. The record is from RNAcentral.
CACGAGGGGUGCAAGCGUUGUUCGGAAUCACUGGGCGUAAAGGGCGCGUAGGCGGCCUUGCAAGCAGGGGGUUUAAUUUCGGGGCCCAACCCCGGAGCCGCCCCCUGAACUGCUUGGCUUGAGUCUUUCAGGGGCAGUUGGAAUACCUGGUGUAGCGGUGGAAUGCGUAGAUAUCAGGUAGAACACCAGUGGCGAAGGCGAACUGCUGGGAAAUGACUGACGCUGAGGCGCGAAAGUGUGGGGAGCGAACAGGAUUAGAUACCCUGGUAGUCCACACCGUAAACGAUGUCAACUAGUCGUCUGGACUCUGUCUGGGUGACGCAGCUAACGCAUUAAGUUGACCGCCUGGGGAGUACGCUCGCAAGAGUG